UCAAGCGAUUAAGUGCAUGUGGUGGAUGCCUUGGCGAUUACAGGCGAUGAAGGGCGUGGAAGCCUGCGAAAAGCUCCGGGGAGCUGGCAAACAAGCAUUGAUCCGGAGAUGUCCGAAUGGGGAAACCCGGCCCGCAAGGGUCAACCUUGGCUGAAUACAUAGGCCAAGCGUGGCAAACCUGGCGAACUGAAACAUCUAAGUAGCCAGAGGAACAGAAAUCAACCGAGAUUCCCAGAGUAGCGGCGAGCGAAAUGGGAGGAGCCUCCAAUUUUUAGCAUUUUAACUAGCCAAACCGUCUGGAAAGUCGGGCCAUAGUGGGUGAUAGCCCCGUAGGUGAAAGUUUGAGUGUGGAACUAAGGUUGGAACAAGUAGGGCGGGACACGAGAAAUCCUGUUUGAAUAUGGGGGGACCAUCCUCCAAGGCUAAAUACUCGUAAUCGACCGAUAGUGAACCAGUACCGUGAGGGAAAGGCGAAAAGAACCCCGGAAGGGGAGUGAAAUAGAUCCUGAAACCGUAUGCAUACAAACAGUGGGAGCCCCUGCUUAAAGAACCUUUGAUUUUUUGGUAAGUAGAAUAAAUCAAAAAGCCUAAAAGGCGAAAGAAUCUUUAACCAGGCAAAGAACCCCAAGGGUUCUUUAAGCAGGGGUGACUGCGUACCUUUUGUAUAAUGGGUCAGCGACUUACAUUCAGUAGCAAGCUUAACCGAAUAGGGGAAGCAUAGCGAAAGCGAGUCUUAAUUGGGCGUUUAGUUGCUGGAUGUAGACCCGAAACCAGAUGAUCUACUCAUGGCCAGGAUGAAGCGAGGGUAACACCUCGUGGAGGUCCGAACCCACUAAUGUUGAAAAAUUAGGGGAUGAGCUGUGGGUAGGGGUGAAAGGCUAAACAAAUCUGGAAAUAGCUGGUUCUCUCCGAAAACUAUUUAGGUAGUGCCUCACGUAUCACCUUUGGGGGUAGAGCACUGUUAUGGCUAGGGGGCCGCCUAGGCUUACCAAACCAUGGCAAACUCCGAAUACCGAAGAGUGCAAGCGUGGGAGACAGACAUCGGGUGCUAACGUCCGGUGUCGAAAGGGAAACAACCCAGACCCUCAGCUAAGGUCCCAAAGUACGGUUAAGUGGUGAACGAGGUGGGAAGGCGAAAACAGUCAGGAAGUUGGCUUAGAAGCAGCCAUCUUUUAAAGAAAGCGUAAUAGCUCACUGAUCGAGUCGUCCUGCGCGGAAAAUGUAACGGGGCUCAAACUGUACACCGAAGCUAGGGAUUUACACGCAAGUGUAGAUGGUAGGAGAGCGUUCCGUAGGCCUGCGAAGGUGGCUUGUGAAGGCUGCUGGAGGUAUCGGAAGUGCGAAUGCUGACAUGAGUAGCGAUAAAGGGAGUGAAAGGCUCCCUCGCCGUAAGCCCAAGGUUUCCUGUGCAACGUUCAUCGGCGCAGGGUGAGUCGGCCCCUAAGGUGAGGCAGAAAUGCGUAGCUGAUGGGAAACUGGUUAAUAUUCCAGUACCUUUGUUCAAUGCGAUGUGGGGACGGAGAAGGUUAACUCGGCCGGGUGUUGGAUGUCCCGGUUCAAGCGUGUAGACGUGCCGCCUAGGCAAAUCCGGGUGGCUUAGUUGAGGCGUGAUAACGCAACGCCCCUCGGGGCGCCAAGUGAGUGAUACCCUGCUUCCAGGAAAAGCCACUAAGCUUCAGUUGAAUGAAGACCGUACCGCAAACCGACACAGGUGGGCGGGAUGAAAAUUCUAAGGCGCUUGAGAGAACUCAGGAGAAGGAACUCGGCAAAUUAACACCGUAACUUCGGGAUAAGGUGUACCCCCGGUACGUGUAGCGCUUCGCGCGUGAAGCGGAUGGGGGUUGCAAAGAAAUGGUGGCUGCGACUGUUUAAUAAAAACACAGCACUCUGCAAACACGCAAGUGGACGUAUAGAGUGUGACGCCUGCCCGGUGCCGGAAGGUUAAAUGAUGGGGUGCAAGCUCUUGAUUGAAGCCCCGGUAAACGGCGGCCGUAACUAUAACGGUCCUAAGGUAGCGAAAUUCCUUGUCGGGUAAGUUCCGACCUGCACGAAUGGCGUAACGAUGGCCACACUGUCUCCUCCUGGGACUCAGCGAAGUUGAAAUGGUUGUGAAGAUGCAAUCUCCCCGCGGCUAGACGGAAAGACCCCGUGCACCUUUACUGUAGCUUUACAUUGGGCUUUGAGAAUAUCUGUGUAGGAUAGGUGGGAGGCAUUGAAGUGGACUCGCUAGAGUUCAUGGAGCCAACGUUGAAAUACCACCCUGAUGUUGUUGAGGUUCUAACCUAGGUCCAUUAUCUGGAUCGGGGACCGUGUAUGGUAGGCAGUUUGACUGGGGCGGUCUCCUCCCAAAGAGUAACGGAGGAGUACGAAGGUACGCUAGGUACGGUCGGAAAUCGUGCUGAUAGUGCAAUGGCAAAAGCGUGCUUGACUGCGAGACUGACAAGUCGAGCAGAUGCGAAAGCAGGUCAUAGUGAUCCGGUGGUUCUGUAUGGAAGGGCCAUCGCUCAACGGAUAAAAGGUACGCCGGGGAUAACAGGCUAAUUCCUCCCAAGAGUUCAUAUCGACGGGGGAGUUUGGCACCUCGAUGUCGGCUCAUCACAUCCUGGGGCUGUAGCCGGUCCCAAGGGUAUGGCUGUUCGCCAUUUAAAGUGGUACGUGAGCUGGGUUUAAAACGUCGUGAGACAGUUUGGUCCCUAUCUGCCGUGGGCGCUGGAAGUUUGAGAGGACCUGCUCCUAGUACGAGAGGACCGGAGUGGACGCACCUCUGGUGUACCGGUUAUGACGCCAGUCGUAUUGCCGGGUAGCUAAGUGCGGAAGAGAUAACCGCUGAAAGCAUCUAAGCGGGAAACUCACCUCAAGAUGAGACUUCCCGGGGGUUAAACCCCCCUAAAGGUUCGUCGAAGACCACGACGUUGAUAGGUCGAGUGUGGAAGCGCAGCAAUGCGUUGAGCUAAUCGAUACUAAUUGACCGUGCGGCUUGAUCCU
RNAcentral lists this ribosomal RNA (2985 nucleotides) under uncultured bacterium W4-87b. RNAcentral describes it as "bacterial LSU rRNA". It matches the Rfam family "Bacterial large subunit ribosomal RNA". The record is from RNAcentral.